AAGAAACACACUGAGGGCAGCGUGAUGUUCCAGUCUCCCUGUCAAACCAUUUGGAGCAGCACCCAGUUCCAUUUUACAUGUUUAAGGCUGGGACUCAAAUUUUGUAAUAUUUGCAGAUUUGUGGCUGUGACAGCUGAUUUCAGGGUGUUCACCAAAUAUGCUGAACUCCUUGGAACAGUCUCUCACUGUUUUUCUAAGAACUUAGCAAAAAGAUAGAGAACUCAAGGUUCUAUACUGACUGUUUGCGAUAGAGGAAAAUACUGUAUAAAGCUGAGUGGUCUUCUGACUCCUCCUGCACCUGCUCAGUGAGUGGGAAAAAGGCUUUUAAAUUGCCUGAAAGAGAAAUCAUUUCAUCCUUUAUAUUUUAAGGGUGGGAAGCUGAAAAGAAAAGCUGCAGAGCUGUCCUUAUAAAGCUACAUCCAAGUAUGGAAGGGAGAAGAUGUGGAAGGGGAGUUUCUGCAGUAACAGUAGAGUCACAGAGCUGGGGCACGUCUGGAGAGCCACACAGAGUAGAAACCUCUUGUCUGCAGCAUUACAGUGCCCAUAGAGGUGAAUGUGGCUUUUGAUGACCCACCAACACCUCCUGGUCACACUGCAUGUCACAGAGCAAAGGGAGGAGGGCUGAUGCUUCUUUCCUCACUGGUAGCUACUGUGAGAAAAGAGAAUGAGCAGUUCUGGGAGCUCUGGUGCAGGUCGAGCAUCAUAUCUGUAAGGAUAUUUUCUUGGUCACUGACUUUGGAGUUUAAGGACGUAGAAAGUCUGCCUGAAACUUUGGCCAGGUGUCCAAUGGAGACUCAUCUCCAUGUGCAUUGCCUGGGUUUUCAUUCACAGAAGGAUGCGUGCCUCAGACUUCAAUAGAGAUGCACUUGUGUAUGAACAAACUAUUUCACCAUUGAUGUCACCUCUGUCAGACUGAGUUAAAAUUCAGCAUUCUGUUUGUUGGGAAGUGGAAGAGAAGAUGAUACUCACAAACACAAGAAUGUAAACUUCUGAUAGGAAACCAGACCAAAAUACAGCCUCUUCUAGUUCACUGCAUAAACAGCUGAAAAAAAAUAAAUGUACCUAUUGCAUCACUUUUCUAGAA
Non-coding RNA from Cyanistes caeruleus (blue tit), 1084 nucleotides. The record is from RefSeq and is a predicted model, not a curated record. Lineage: Eukaryota; Metazoa; Chordata; Aves; Passeriformes; Paridae.